RNAcentral lists this unclassified non-coding RNA (742 nucleotides) under Hevea brasiliensis (rubber tree). The record is from RNAcentral. Lineage: Eukaryota; Viridiplantae; Streptophyta; Magnoliopsida; Malpighiales; Euphorbiaceae.
CUUCCUUCCAUAAAGAUAACUAUUCGAACAAAAACAUUCAAGAAAAAGAAAAUUCAAAAUCCAACAUCAAACCCUGCAUCGUAAGCUGCAGCAUCUGACACCAUAUCUCCGAUUAAAAGCCCACCAAGAACUCCUCCGAGUAAGCCAGCUCCCAAUCCCAGCCCAAACUUGUUCUCCUUUGGCGGUUGUUGCACUGCUGGGUACCCAUAUCCUGCCUGAGCCCGUGGGUAUCCAUAGCCUACCUGAGGAGCUGGUGGGUAUCCAUAGCUUACCUGAGGAGGUGGUGGUGGGUAUCCAUAACCAGGCGGUGGUGNNNNGCCGUACCCUGGAUGAGGAGGUGGAUAAGCAUAACCUGCCACCUGUUGUGGUGGUGGAGGAGCAGUUGGAUAAGGCCCAAGUCCACCAUAAGGUGCUGAACUAGGACCAACCAUCGGAGGAGGAGGAGCAGGAUAUGCAGUGACGGGUUGGUCAGCUUUGCCCCCGACCUUCUCAGGUCCUGAGUCGAAUUUGUCACCAAACUUAUAAGAAAAACUCAACUCACCUUUAGGUUUCCCCGAUGGCUUUCUGACCUGAUAAAUAACAAACUGCAUGGAUUUCCCAUCUCCCAUGGAAUCCAAGAGCUCCUUGACAGGGACGUUGACUUCACCUAUAUCUUUAUCUCCUAAGGCACGAUCACACCGGAGCUUGAAGACGAGGUUUAAGCGGUUCUGCUGAGCUGGGGUCUCAUAGAUUGUGAAUUUGG